RNAcentral lists this ribosomal RNA (1149 nucleotides) under human gut metagenome. Its description in RNAcentral is "bacterial LSU rRNA". It matches the Rfam family "Bacterial large subunit ribosomal RNA", at positions 1344 to 2476 of the family's 2925-position model. The record is from RNAcentral.
ACCAAGGGUUCCUGUCCAACGUUAAUCGGGGCAGGGUGAGUCGACCCCUAAGGCGAGGCCGAAAGGCGUAGUCGAUGGGAAACAGGUUAAUAUUCCUGUACUUGGUGUUACUGCGAAGGGGGGACGGAGAAGGCUAUGUUGGCCGGGCGACGGUUGUCCCGGUUUAAGCGUGUAGGCUGGUUUUCCAGGCAAAUCCGGAAAACCAAGGCUGAGGCGUGAUGACGAGGCACUACGGUGCUGAAGCGACAAAUGCCCUGCUUCCAGGAAAAGCCUCUAAGCAUCAGGUAACAUCAAAUCGUACCCCAAACCGACACAGGUGGUCAGGUAGAGAAUACCAAGGCGCUUGAGAGAACUCGGGUGAAGGAACUAGGCAAAAUGGUGCCGUAACUUCGGGAGAAGGCACGCUGAUAUGUAGGUGAAGCGACUUGCUCGUGGAGCUGAAAUCAGUCGAAGAUACCAGCUGGCUGCAACUGUUUAUUAAAAACACAGCACUGUGCAAACACGAAAGUGGACGUAUACGGUGUGACGCCUGCCCGGUGCCGGAAGGUUAAUUGAUGGGGUUAGCGGUAACGCGAAGCUCUUGAUCGAAGCCCCGGUAAACGGCGGCCGUAACUAUAACGGUCCUAAGGUAGCGAAAUUCCUUGUCGGGUAAGUUCCGACCUGCACGAAUGGCGUAAUGAUGGCCAGGCUGUCUCCACCCGAGACUCAGUGAAAUUGAACUCGCUGUGAAGAUGCAGUGUACCCGCGGCAAGACGGAAAGACCCCGUGAACCUUUACUAUAGCUUGACACUGAACAUUGAGCCUUGAUGUGUAGGAUAGGUGGGAGGCUUUGAAGUGUGGACGCCAGUCUGCAUGGAGCCGACCUUGAAAUACCACCCUUUAAUGUUUGAUGUUCUAACGUUGGCCCGUAAUCCGGGUUGCGGACAGUGUCUGGUGGGUAGUUUGACUGGGGCGGUCUCCUCCUAAAGAGUAACGGAGGAGCACGAAGGUUGGCUAAUCCUGGUCGGACAUCAGGAGGUUAGUGCAAUGGCAUAAGCCAGCUUGACUGCGAGCGUGACGGCGCGAGCAGGUGCGAAAGCAGGUCAUAGUGAUCCGGUGGUUCUGAAUGGAAGGGCCAUCGCUCAACGGAUAAAAGGUACUCCGGGGAUA